GCCAGGGUAGCCUAGUGGUUAGAGUGUAGAGGUGGCAGGGUAGCCUAGUGGUUAGAGUGUAGAGGUGGCAGGUAGCCUAGUGGUUAGAGUGUAGAGGUGGCAAGUAGCCUAGUGGUUAGAGUGUAGAGGUGGCAGGGUAGCCUAGUGGUUAGAGUGUAGAGGUGGCAGGUAGCCUAGUGGUUAGAGUGUAGAGGCGGCAGGGUAGCCUAGUGAUUAGAGUGUAGAGGCGGCAGGGUAGCCUAGUGGUUAGAGUGUAGAGGUGGCAGGUAGCCUAGUGGUUAGAGUGUAGAGGUGGCAGGGUAGCCUAGUGGUUAGAGAGUAGAGGCGGCAGGGUAGCCUAGUGGUUAGAGUGUAGAUGUGGCAGAUAGCCUAGUGGUUAGAGUGUAGAGGUGGCAGGUAGCCUAGGGGUUAGAGAGUAGGUGCGGCAGGUAGCCUAGUGGUUAGAGUGUAGAUGUGGCAGAUAGCCUAGUGGUUAGAGUGUAGAGGUGGCAGGUAGCCUAGGGGUUAGAGAGUAGAGGCGGCAGGUAGCCUAGUGGUUAGAGUGUUGGACUAGU
Molecule: long non-coding RNA, 554 nt
Organism: Oncorhynchus tshawytscha (Chinook salmon)
Lineage: Eukaryota; Metazoa; Chordata; Actinopteri; Salmoniformes; Salmonidae
Source: Ensembl